This 372-nucleotide ribosomal RNA is filed under the name uncultured bacterium. RNAcentral describes it as "bacterial SSU rRNA". It matches the Rfam family "Bacterial small subunit ribosomal RNA", at positions 524 to 898 of the family's 1533-position model. The record is from RNAcentral.
UACGGAGGAUGCGAGCGUUAUCCGGAUUUAUUGGGUUUAAAGGGUGCGUAGGCCGACUUUUAAGUCAGCGGUGAAAUUUUCCGGCUCAACCGGGACAUUGCCGUUGAAACUGAUAGUCUUGAGUGUAAAUGAGGUAGGCGGAAUGUGUGGUGUAGCGGUGAAAUGCUUAGAUAUCACACAGAACUCCAAUUGCGAAGGCAGCUUACUGGCAUACAACUGACGCUGAGGCACGAAAGUGUGGGUAUCAAACAGGAUUAGAUACCCUGGUAGUCCACACAGUAAACGAUGAUAACUAGCCGUUGGCGAUAUACAGUCAGUGGCAGAGCGAAAGCAUUAAGUUAUCCACCUGGGGAGUACGCCGGCAACGGUGAA